UCAGAAGUGCGAAUGCUGACAUAAGUAACGAUAAAGCGGGUGAAAAGCCCGCUCGCCGGAAGACCAAGGGUUCCUGUCCAACGUUAAUCGGGGCAGGGUGAGUCGACCCCUAAGGCGAGGCCGAAAGGCGUAGUCGAUGGGAAACAGGUUAAUAUUCCUGUACUUGGUGUUACUGCGAAGGGGGGACGGAGAAGGCUAUGUUGGCCGGGCGACGGUUGUCCCGGUUUAAGCGUGUAGGCUGGUUUUCCAGGCAAAUCCGGAAAAUCAAGGCUGAGGCGUGAUGACGAGGCACUACGGUGCUGAAGCAACAAAUGCCCUGCUUCCAGGAAAAGCCUCUAAGCAUCAGGUAACAUCAAAUCGUACCCCAAACCGACACAGGUGGUCAGGUAGAGAAUACCAAGGCGCUUGAGAGAACUCGGGUGAAGGAACUAGGCAAAAUGGUGCCGUAACUUCGGGAGAAGGCACGCUGAUAUGUAGGUGAAGUCCCUCGCGGAUGGAGCUGAAAUCAGUCGAAGAUACCAGCUGGCUGCAACUGUUUAUUAAAAACACAGCACUGUGCAAACACGAAAGUGGACGUAUACGGUGUGACGCCUGCCCGGUGCCGGAAGGUUAAUUGAUGGGGUCAGCGCAAGCGAAGCUCUUGAUCGAAGCCCCGGUAAACGGCGGCCGUAACUAUAACGGUCCUAAGGUAGCGAAAUUCCUUGUCGGGUAAGUUCCGACCUGCACGAAUGGCGUAAUGAUGGCCAGGCUGUCUCCACCCGAGACUCAGUGAAAUUGAACUCGCUGUGAAGAUGCAGUGUACCCGCGGCAAGACGGAAAGACCCCGUGAACCUUUACUAUAGCUUGACACUGAACAUUGAGCCUUGAUGUGUAGGAUAGGUGGGAGGCUUUGAAGUGUGGACGCCAGUCUGCAUGGAGCCGACCUUGAAAUACCACCCUUUAAUGUUUGAUGUUCUAACGUGGACCCGUGAUCCGGGUUGCGGACAGUGUCUGGUGGGUAGUUUGACUGGGGCGGUCUCCUCCUAAAGAGUAACGGAGGAGCACGAAGGUUGGCUAAUCCUGGUCGGACAUCAGGAGGUUAGUGCAAUGGCAUAAGCCAGCUUGACUGCGAGCGUGACGGCGCGAGCAGGUGCGAAAGCAGGUCAUAGUGAUCCGGUGGUUCUGAAUGGAAGGGCCAUCGCUCAACGGAUAAAAGGUACUCCGGGGAUAACAGGCUGAUACCGCCCAAGAGUUCAUAUCGACGGCGGUGUUUGGCACCUCGAUGUCGGCUCAUCACAUCCUGGGGCUGAAGUAGGUCCCAAGGGUAUGGCUGUUCGCCAUUUAAAGUGGUACGCGAGCUGGGUUUAGAACGUCGUGAGACAGUUCGGUCCCUAUCUGCCGUGGGCGCUGGAGAACUGAGGGGGGCUGCUCCUAGUACGAGAGGACCGGAGUGGACGCAUCACUGGUGUUCGGGUUGUCAUGCCAAUGGCACUGCCCGGUAGCUAAAUGCGGAAGAGAUAAGUGCUGAAAGCAUCUAAGCACGAAACUUGCCCCGAGAUGAGUUCUCCCUGACCCUUUAAGGGUCCUGAAGGAACGUUGAAGACGACGACGUUGAUAGGCCGGGUGUGUAAGCGCAGCGAUGCGUUGAGCUAACCGGUACUAAUGAACCGUGAGGCUUAACCUUACAACGCCGAAGGUGUUU
RNAcentral lists this ribosomal RNA (1681 nucleotides) under Escherichia coli. RNAcentral describes it as "partial 23S ribosomal RNA". It matches the Rfam family "Bacterial large subunit ribosomal RNA", at positions 1282 to 2925 of the family's 2925-position model. The record is from RNAcentral. Lineage: Bacteria; Pseudomonadati; Pseudomonadota; Gammaproteobacteria; Enterobacterales; Enterobacteriaceae.